CAGGAACCUGAAUAAUACAUAUGAGCAGCCCGACCCCCAUUACUAGAACCAGGACCCAUCAAACCACCCUGUACUCACCCAGCAGAGCGAGCAUUAAACCGAGGACAACACAGACUAACAGUGAGACUCCAUUGUCCGAAAGCUCCGAAGUUUCACCCACUGGUGCGUCAGAUAAUGAAGAGACCAUAACCCUAUUAAAGAAACGGAAGUCCCAAAUCUGCACAGUCAUGUGACUAGAUGCAAGUCCAAGUUAAUGUGGUUGGUUAAUUGAAAGCAUUCAUAGGAAUGACUCUAUUGAGUGUAUUUCUAUGGCUCAAGUCUGCUCUUUGCACAUUGGUAUUAAAAAUUCUAAUGCACAUGUAAGUGUUACUGUAUAACAUUGUCUGUCUCAUCUCCUGCACGUACAAGUGUUGCCUUGUCAUUGCAUUUGUCUUCCAAACAUUCCCUGUUUUUAUUUUUUUAUUUUUUAUUUCACCUUUAUUUAACCAGGUAGGCCAGUUGAGAACAAGUUCUCAUUUACAACUGCGACCUGGCCAAGAUAAAGCAAAGCAGUGUGACACAGACAACAACACAGAGUUACACGUGGAAUAAACAAUAAACAAGCCAAUAACACAAUAAACAAGUCAAUGACACAGUAGAAAAAAAAGAAAGUCUAUAUACAGUGUGUGGAAAAGGCAUGAGGAGGUAGGCAAUAAACAGGCCACAGGAGCGAAUAAUUACAAUUUAGCAGAUUAACGCUGGAGUGAUAAAUGAGCAGAUGUGUAUGCUGGUCAUUGUCCCCCACACUGAAAUUGGGGAAGGGACUGUGGAUCUGUUUCCGUCCGUUAGUACGUUCAUAUGUUAGUCACAAGCGAUAUCUCAGACAGCAUUGGCCCGGUUUUGACUAAACUUUGGUGAAUGAUGCAUCUUGCCAUAGCUUUACGGCAUUUAGAAAAUUACACUGAUUGGCCAGAUGGUGGCUCUGUAACGAGAUUGAAAAUGCAAACUUUGUAAGGUCAUGCCCCUCACCCCGUUUGACCUUAAGUCAUGAAAUUUAGUAGAUCGGUCCCUGUCUUCACAAGGAACAAAUUUGCCUCCGGACCCAUAAGUUCCGACCAUUAUGAUUUUCCACCAUUUUGAAUUGUGUGAAAAACACUUAACCCUACUCUUCUGAUACCGAAUGACCAAUCUGCACGAAACUUGAUAUGUGGCAUUUAUGGAAAACGAUCUCUCAACGCAAUAUUUUCCAGGCUGGUAGCUAAAUCAACAUGGCCGCUAUUGACCAAUAAACAUUCACCUGGGUGUGGUCUGGCACAUGCAUAUAUAUCAGUCAAUGAUAUUCGUAUUGUAACGGAAUUUGGUAAACACUGUCAAGACUCAACAUAUGCAAGAACAUUCAUAUCGACCUUCCUGUGGCGCUAUAACGGGCAUAUAUCUGUUGAUCUGUUUGACUUAGUGAUUUAAAUUUGGCAUGCAUGUUUAGGGAUAUGAGUUAAUCCACACGAUAUCUCAGACACCACUGGCCCAAUUUUUACAAAAUUUGGGUGAAUGAUUAGUCAUGCCAUAGAGAUCUGUCAUUGACAAAAUUAUACCUUUUGGGCCGGGGGUGGGGGGGGCUAUAGUAAUCAACUGUACAUACGUUAGUCAUUUGUGGGGGGAUGACAUGUUUACUGGUGCCUUAUUUCAAGGUGUCUUGGUAGUCAAUAUUCUAAGAUUGUUAUCAUGUGUAUCAUUUCUUCGAUCAUGCUAACUUAAAUCUCUGCUCUUCACUUGAAUCAUGGUUGUACAAUUUGAAAUAAAUGUCAUGUGUUUUUGAA
This is a long non-coding RNA of Salvelinus fontinalis (brook trout), 1796 nucleotides long. RefSeq lists it as uncharacterized. The record is from RefSeq and is a predicted model, not a curated record. Lineage: Eukaryota; Metazoa; Chordata; Actinopteri; Salmoniformes; Salmonidae. The transcript has 3 exons.